GAACGCUGGCGGCGUGCUUAACACCUGCAAGUCGUACGGUAAGGCCCUUUCGGGGGUCCACGAGUGGCGAACGGGUGAGUAACACGUGAGUAACCUGCCCACAACUUUGGGAUAACGCUAGGAAACUGGUGCUAAUACUGGAUAUGUGCUCCUGCUGCAUGGUGGGGGUUGGAAAGCUCCGGCGGUUGUGGAUGGACUCGCGGCCUAUCAGCUUGUUGGUGGGGUAGUGGCCUACCAAGGCGGCGACGGGUAGCCGGCCUGAGAGGGUGACCGGCCACAUUGGGACUGAGAUACGGCCCAGACUCCUACGGGAGGCAGCAGUGGGGAAUAUUGCACAAUGGGCGCAAGCCUGAUGCAGCAACGCCGCGGGCGGGAUGACGGCCUUCGGGUUGUAAACCGCUUUCAGCAGGGACGAAGCUUUUUGUGACGGUACCUGCAGAAGAAGCACCGGCUAACUACGUG
This 462-nucleotide ribosomal RNA is filed under the name uncultured bacterium. Its description in RNAcentral is "partial 16S ribosomal RNA". It matches the Rfam family "Bacterial small subunit ribosomal RNA", at positions 31 to 507 of the family's 1533-position model. The record is from RNAcentral.